ACCUACGGGGCGCAGCAGUAGGGAAUCUUCCACAAUGGGCGAAAGCCUGAUGGAGCAACGCCGCGUGGGUGAAGAAGGUCUUCGGAUCGUAAAGCCCUGUUGUUAGAGAAGAAAGUGCGUGAGAGUAACUGUUCACGUUUCGACGGUAUCUAACCAGAAAGCCACGGCUAACUACGUGCCAGCAGCCGCGGUAAUACGUAGGUGGCAAGCGUUAUCCGGAUUUAUUGGGCGUAAAGGGAACGCAGGCGGUCUUUUAAGUCUGAUGUGAAAGCCUUCGGCUUAACCGGAGGAGUGCAUUGGAAACU
This 305-nucleotide ribosomal RNA is filed under the name uncultured bacterium. RNAcentral's name for it is "bacterial SSU rRNA". It matches the Rfam family "Bacterial small subunit ribosomal RNA", at positions 337 to 634 of the family's 1533-position model. The record is from RNAcentral.